RNAcentral lists this ribosomal RNA (253 nucleotides) under uncultured bacterium. RNAcentral's name for it is "partial 16S ribosomal RNA". It matches the Rfam family "Bacterial small subunit ribosomal RNA", at positions 524 to 776 of the family's 1533-position model. The record is from RNAcentral.
GACGUAGGGCGCGAGCGUUGUCCGGAUUUAUUGGGCGUAAAGAGCUCGUAGGCGGUUUGUCGCGUCUGCUGUGAAAACUGGAGGCUCAACCUCCAGCCUGCAGUGGGUACGGGCAGACUAGAGUGCGGUAGGGGAGAUUGGAAUUCCUGGUGUAGCGGUGGAAUGCGCAGAUAUCAGGAGGAACACCGAUGGCGAAGGCAGAUCUCUGGGCCGUAACUGACGCUGAGGAGCGAAAGCAUGGGGAGCGAACAGG